RNAcentral lists this ribosomal RNA (513 nucleotides) under uncultured bacterium. RNAcentral's name for it is "partial 16S ribosomal RNA". It matches the Rfam family "Bacterial small subunit ribosomal RNA", at positions 28 to 523 of the family's 1533-position model. The record is from RNAcentral.
GACGAACGCUGGCGGCAUGCCUAAUACAUGCAGGUCGAGCGAACAGAUGAAGUGCUUGCACUUCUGACGUUAGCGGCGAACGGGUGAGUAACACGUAAGGAAUCUACCUAUAAGCGGGGGAUAACAUUCGGAAACGGGUGCUAAUACCGCAUAAUAUCUUCUUCCGCAUGGAAGAAGAUUGAAAGACGGCUCUGCUGUCCCUUAUAGAUGACCUUGCGGUGCAUUAGUUAGUUGGUGGGGUAACGGCCUACCAAGACGAUGAUGCAUAGCCGACCUGAGAGGGUGAUCGGCCACAUUGGGACUGAGACACGGCCCAAACUCCUACGGGAGGCAGCAGUAGGGAAUCUUCCGCAAUGGGCGAAAGCCUGACGGAGCAAUGCCGCGUGAGUGAAGAAGGCCUUCGGGUCGUAAAACUCUGUUAUAAGAGAAGAACAAAUUGUAGAGUAACUGCUACAGUCUUGACGGUAUCCUAUCAGAAAGCCACGGCUAACUACGUGCCAGCCGCCGCGGUAA